AUAGACUGUCACUUUUGCUCUUUCUUUUUCAAGAAAACUACCACUUUCUGCUAGGUACGUUACAACCAAAACAAUCUCAAUUAUGAAAGGGUGACCAACCCGUCACGACUAAUAGGGCACACAAUGUCAGCUCCGUUAACUAUGAACAUUAAAUCUGUCGUUAUUAAUGUGGGACCCACUGGUCCGUUCUGUUUAAAAUUAGGCCCCGGUAAGGCAGGCAACGCCACUGUUGUUGGCAUCUGCUACCACCAUGUCAUGGUUGUUCACACCACGAGGAUUCCCUCGGCAAAGAAAAAUACAUCUCUCUCCACCCUCUUGCUCUCGGAUGCUAUCAACAACGACGACACGCACAAGUGCGCAGACAUGGGCACAUGAAGCCCUCUCCAGCAAUGAGUAAUUCAAGGUCUAAUGCCGCCCGUGCCUCCGCGAGCGAUCGGCCUGCCUCUGUCCAAGAAGCCAUCGAAACCGGGACUGAGCUAGAGUGCCUUAUGGUAGGUGCAUUUGGUUGUAUGAAGGUGGGACCAGCAGUGGCUGGCCCACAUGGUACAGACCCAAAGGUAGGUAACGUUAUGGCACUCAAGCAGCCCUCCCACGCACGAAACGGACACCGCAGCCGCCACGGACGCCGUUGAACGUGUAGACGUUAAGGCCGCUACUGAUGCCGCUACAUUGUUUGGAAAGACUGUUGAACACACUCGCAUGAUUGCUACAGGCCUCUCUGCCAUAGCCUUUACCCCAUGUCGGAAAGCCCUGGAGGUUCCCCAUGCCUCUCACGCCCACAAACAAGUUCUUCUCCUCCGUUGCUUGGCUCCUCCUACACCGACGCCUUCUCUGCGGCGCCAAACCACUAGUGGCCGGAAUCGAGGCAUGUGCCGCACCCCGACAGGCACGGUUCUGGUCAUCGAUAGCCAAGUCACAGAGCAGGGAGAGAGGCGGCACUGCCGGAGCACUUCUUGACUAGGGUGCCGCUCUAGUCUAGUAAACCAACUACAUACAUCGAGUCUAUCCACGCUCUCCUGUGUUGCGCGUGUGUGAUCGUUG
Molecule: long non-coding RNA, 1041 nt
Filed under: Hordeum vulgare
Lineage: Eukaryota; Viridiplantae; Streptophyta; Magnoliopsida; Poales; Poaceae
Description: long non-coding RNA (HVUL_LNC014120)
Source: RNAcentral